This 209-nucleotide long non-coding RNA is filed under the name Elaeis guineensis (African oil palm). RNAcentral describes it as "long non-coding RNA (EGUI_LNC015296)". Lineage: Eukaryota; Viridiplantae; Streptophyta; Magnoliopsida; Arecales; Arecaceae. The record is from RNAcentral.
CCAGAGAAGCUGGAGUCGAGGGAAUCGCGGGCGCCAUCGGGACCUACAAGGGAAGUCUAAACCGGAGUUGGGGGUACUCCGGCAAGAUCCUCCGACGCUCAAGUCAGUACUCUGCCGCAACAGAAAUGGAGCACUCGAACGAGAUUUUAGCAGAGUUUUGAGAUAGUAAUUAGAGCUUAGAGGAGAACGUAUUUGGGGGGUCUCUUUUA